Molecule: non-coding RNA, 120 nt
Organism: Curvularia kusanoi
Lineage: Eukaryota; Fungi; Ascomycota; Dothideomycetes; Pleosporales; Pleosporaceae
Source: the annotation of a GenBank genome assembly
GAUCGUUUGGCCGAGUGGUUAUGGCGUGUGACUCAAGCGAUUCUCUAAGAAGAGCUUUCUCCAUCACGGAGAGUUUUCUCAUGGGCUUUGCCCGCGAGGGUUCGAAUCCCUCAGCGAUCA